This 492-nucleotide ribosomal RNA is filed under the name uncultured bacterium. RNAcentral's name for it is "partial 16S ribosomal RNA". It matches the Rfam family "Bacterial small subunit ribosomal RNA", at positions 29 to 507 of the family's 1533-position model. The record is from RNAcentral.
AGUGAACGCUGGCGGUAGGCCUAACACAUGCAAGUCGAACGGCAGCACAGUAAGAGCUUGCUCUUACGGGUGGCGAGUGGCGGACGGGUGAGGAAUACAUCGGAAUCUACUUUUUCGUGGGGGAUAACGUAGGGAAACUUGCGCUAAUACCGCAUACGACCUACGGGUGAAAGCAGGGGAUCUUCGGACCUUGCGCGAUUGAAUGAGCCGAUGUCGGAUUAGCUAGUUGGCGGGGUAAAGGCCCACCAAGGCGACGAUCCGUAGCUGGUCUGAGAGGAUGAUCAGCCACACUGGAACUGAGACACGGUCCAGACUCCUACGGGAGGCAGCAGUGGGGAAUAUUGGACAAUGGGCGCAAGCCUGAUCCAGCUAUACCGCGUGGGUGAAGAAGGCCUUCGGGUUGUAAAGCCCUUUUGUUGGGAAAGAAAAGCAGCAGGUUAAUACCCCGCUGUUCUGACGGUACCCAAAGAAUAAGCACCGGCUAACUUCGUG